RNAcentral lists this unclassified non-coding RNA (295 nucleotides) under air metagenome. Its description in RNAcentral is "partial contains small subunit ribosomal RNA, internal transcribed spacer 1, and 5.8S ribosomal RNA". The stretch from base 1 to 46 matches the Rfam family "Eukaryotic small subunit ribosomal RNA", at positions 1786 to 1831 of the family's 1831-position model. The record is from RNAcentral.
AAGUCGUAACAAGGUUUCCGUAGGUGAACCUGCGGAAGGAUCAUUAUUGAAACUUCUUUCAAGAGGGGUGUUUGUUAUGCUGGCCCUUCUUGGGCAAUUGUGCACGACAUGCCUCUUGUUCCAACUCUUAACACCUGUGCAUUUUUUGUAGGCUGAGAAAUUGGUCUAUGUUUUUUCCUUUAUGCAUCCUUUGUAUGUUUAUUGAAUGUUCAUUUCUGUUAUCGUGGUUCUCUUUUUGAGAGCCAGGGUACGAAAAACCAUAAUACAACUUUCAACAACGGAUCUCUUGGCUCUC